This 74-nucleotide transfer RNA is filed under the name Bifidobacteriaceae bacterium. RNAcentral's name for it is "tRNA-Val". It matches the Rfam family "tRNA". From Rfam's summary of the family: Transfer RNA (tRNA) molecules are approximately 80 nucleotides in length. Their secondary structure includes four short double-helical elements and three loops (D, anti-codon, and T loops). The record is from RNAcentral. Lineage: Bacteria; Bacillati; Actinomycetota; Actinomycetes; Bifidobacteriales; Bifidobacteriaceae.
GGGCCCGUAGCUCAGUUGGCUAGAGCACCACGUUUACACCGUGGCGGCCGCCGGUUCGAGCCCGGCCGGGCCCA